GGCUUUUUUACUUAGUAUCCUUUUCUAAAACACAGCGGUUAUUUCCAUUUAAAAAAAGUCCAGUUCGAAUUAUGAAUUAAACUGUUGCUCACACUUCUCAUAACAAUAAAGGUGUCCUCGUAGAAAUCUUCGUAGUAAAUAAUUUACAACAAAAACUCGAGCAUUUGUAAACAAAGAAUUCUACCGCACUAGUGAUUUAAAGACUAGGAAUUUAUGAUGUUCUAGACUCGAAAUCACUUUCACAAAGAAAACAUAUGGAACUGUUUUUCGUGUUACUAUAGUAUCAGCUGUUUACAUGGUUUCAGAUGCGCCUCAAAAGAUUUCCAUACGCUCUUCUAAACGCUCUGAAAUAAAA
Maniola jurtina (meadow brown) is the source of this 355-nucleotide long non-coding RNA. RefSeq lists it as uncharacterized. The record is from RefSeq and is a predicted model, not a curated record. Lineage: Eukaryota; Metazoa; Arthropoda; Insecta; Lepidoptera; Nymphalidae. The transcript has 3 exons.